AACGAACGCUGGCGGCAUGCCUAACACAUGCAAGUCGAACGAGACCUUCGGGUCUAGUGGCGCACGGGUGCGUAACGCGUGGGAACCUGCCCUUAGGUUCGGAAUAACUCCCCGAAAGGGGUGCUAAUACCGGAUAAUGUCUUCGGACCAAAGAUUUAUCGCCUUUGGAUGGGCCCGCGUUGGAUUAGCUAGUUGGUAGGGUAAAAGCCUACCAAGGCGACGAUCCAUAGCUGGUCUGAGAGGAUGAUCAGCCACACUGGGACUGAGACACGGCCCAGACUCCUACGGGGGGCAGCAGUGGGGAAUAUUGGACAAUGGGCGAAAGCCUGAUCCAGCAAUGCCGCGUGAGUGAUGAAGGCCUUAGGGUUGUAAAGCUCUUUUACCCGGGAUGAUAAUGACAGUACCGGGAGAAUAAGCACCGGCUAACUCCGUG
Molecule: ribosomal RNA, 433 nt
Filed under: uncultured bacterium
Lineage: Bacteria
Description: partial 16S ribosomal RNA
Rfam family: Bacterial small subunit ribosomal RNA
Source: RNAcentral